This 467-nucleotide ribosomal RNA is filed under the name uncultured bacterium. RNAcentral describes it as "partial 16S ribosomal RNA". It matches the Rfam family "Bacterial small subunit ribosomal RNA", at positions 29 to 507 of the family's 1533-position model. The record is from RNAcentral.
ACGAACGCUGGCGGCGUGCUCAACACAUGCACGUCGAACGGAAAGGCCCUGCUUUUGUGGGGUGCUCGAGUGGCGAACGGGUGAGUAACGCGUGAGUAACCUGCCCUUGACUUUGGGAUAACUUCAGGAAACUGGGGCUAAUACCGGAUAGGAGCUCCUGCUGCAUGGUGGGGGUUGGAAAGUUUCGGCGGUUGGGGAUGGACUCGCGGCUUAUCAGCUUGUUGGUGGGGUAGUGGCUUACCAAGGCUUUGACGGGUAGCCGGCCUGAGAGGGUGACCGGCCACAUUGGGACUGAGAUACGGCCCAGACUCCUACGGGAGGCAGCAGUGGGGAAUAUUGCACAAUGGGCGGAAGCCUGAUGCAGCAACGCCGCGUGCGGGAUGACGGCCUUCGGGUUGUAAACCGCUUUCGCCUGUGACGAAGCGUGAGUGACGGUAAUGGGUAAAGAAGCACCGGCUAACUACGUG